Molecule: ribosomal RNA, 292 nt
Filed under: uncultured Anaerolineaceae bacterium
Lineage: Bacteria; Bacillati; Chloroflexota; Anaerolineae; Anaerolineales; Anaerolineaceae
Description: partial 16S ribosomal RNA
Rfam family: Bacterial small subunit ribosomal RNA
Source: RNAcentral
CGGUUAAGUCCGCUAACGAGCGCAACCCUCGCUGUAUGUUACAUGUGUCAUACGGGACCGCCGGUAUCAAGCCGGAGGAAGGUGGGGAUGACGUCAAGUCCGCAUGGCCUUUAUGUCCGGGGCUACACACACGCUACAAUGGUCGGUACAAUGGGUUGCUAAGCCGCGAGGUGGAGCCAAUCCCCCAAAGCCGGCCUCAGUUCAGAUUGCAGGCUGCAACUCGCCUGCAUGAAGCUGGAGUUGCUAGUAAACGCGCGUCAGCUAUAGUGCGUUGAAUACGUUCUCGGGCCUU